RNAcentral lists this transfer RNA (72 nucleotides) under Marmota monax (woodchuck). RNAcentral describes it as "tRNA.Ala". Lineage: Eukaryota; Metazoa; Chordata; Mammalia; Rodentia; Sciuridae. The record is from RNAcentral.
UGGGUAUAGCUCAGUGGUAGAGUGCUUGCUCAGCAUGCACAAGAACCCUGCGUUCCAUACCCAGUAAUGCAA